GUUAAAAAGCUCGUAGUUGGAUUUCGGUUAAGAGCGACCGGUCCGCCGUUUGGUGUGCACUGGUUGGUUUUAACUUCCUGUAGAGGACGUGCUCUGGGCUUAACGGUCUGGACUCGGAGUCUACGUGGUUACUUUGAAAAAAUUAGAGUGUUCAAAGCGGGCUUACGCUUGAAUAUUUCAGCAUGGAAUAACACUAUAGGACUCCUGUCCUAUUUCGUUGGUCUCGGGACGGGAGUAAUGAUUAAGAGGAACAGUUGGGGGCAUUCGUAUUUCAUUGUCAGAGGUGAAAUUCUUGGAUUUAUGAAAGACGAACUUCUGCGAAAGCAUUUGCCAAGGAUGUUUUCAUUAAUCAAGAACGAAAGUUGGGGGCUCGAAGAUGAUUAGAUACCAUCCUAGUCUCAACCAUAAACGAUGCCGACUAGGGAUUGGCGGAUGUU
This 437-nucleotide ribosomal RNA is filed under the name uncultured marine eukaryote. Its description in RNAcentral is "SSU rRNA". It matches the Rfam family "Eukaryotic small subunit ribosomal RNA", at positions 618 to 1064 of the family's 1831-position model. The record is from RNAcentral.